Molecule: transfer RNA, 76 nt
Filed under: Candidatus Abyssobacteria bacterium SURF_17
Lineage: Bacteria; Pseudomonadati; Candidatus Hydrogenedentota; Candidatus Abyssobacteria
Description: Candidatus Abyssubacteria bacterium SURF_17 tRNA-Thr
Rfam family: tRNA
About the family: Transfer RNA (tRNA) molecules are approximately 80 nucleotides in length. Their secondary structure includes four short double-helical elements and three loops (D, anti-codon, and T loops). Further hydrogen bonds mediate the characteristic L-shaped molecular structure. tRNAs have two regions of fundamental functional importance: the anti-codon, which is responsible for specific mRNA codon recognition, and the 3' end, to which the tRNAs corresponding amino acid is attached (by aminoacyl-tRNA synthetases). tRNAs cope with the degeneracy of the genetic code in two manners: having more than one tRNA (with a specific anti-codon) for a particular amino acid; and 'wobble' base-pairing, i.e. permitting non-standard base-pairing at the 3rd anti-codon position.
Source: RNAcentral
GCCCACGUAGCUCAGUCGGUAGAGCACGUGCAUGGUAAGCACGUGGUCACCGGUUCGAUUCCGGUCGUGGGCUCUA